CCGGGCCCUGCCUCCCACCUCUCCUCCCAAUCACCCUUCAUUCCUUCCAGUCUUGGUUGGCCUCUGCGAGGUCUUCCUCCGUCCCCAGUCACUGGUCUCCCUGAUGACGCCUCCCUUUUUCAUCCAAGACCCCACAUAUGUGAGAGAUCCUGCCUACCCUGGAAGAUGGCACUGUCUCAACUUCCAGCGUGGGGACAGAGCUCUCUCGCUGCAGGGCCCGGAAGUUUCCUGUCCAGUUGGCUCCUUUUGGUUUUGCUCCACACGAAACAGGUGCUCACGGUGGUUCCAAGCGAGUUCUCGUUCCGCCCUCCACGCCUUGAAAAUUUCGUCCAUUCUUAAGUAUCCAGCUAUCUUUCCGAAUCUCUCCAGCCAAGGCUCGGGCUCACAUUUACUCGUGUCUGCUGGACAGCUCCACCUGGAUCGUCUACCAGCCCUUCAAAUUCAAGUAGUCCAAACCCUUCACCUUUCUCCCCAAACCUGGGUGCUUGUUCUCUUUCUGCUUGAGUAAAUGCCAUCUUCGUGCCAGAAAUGUCAGCUCCUCUCUCCUUUGUUCCUUUCCUCGAUUCGACAGUUCACCAUGCCUUGACAUGUGCGCCUCUUCAAGUCCUUCCUCCUUGCCAUACUGUGCUGCCUUGUGCCAGUGAAGACAGAUAAUGAUGGCAUGUCACACCUUCCUUGAGUCUCAAGCAGCAAGCACCAGAGUCAUCUGGAGGGCUUGUUACACACUGAUUGCUAAGCCCUACUUUCAUGACUGUGACUCACAGGACUUGGGUUAGACCCAAGAGUGUGCAUUUCCAACAACUUUCCAGGUGAGGCUGAUGCUGCCCAUCUGAGGGCUGCACUGAAAACUACUGCCCUCCCAUAGUUAAGAAGAAAGACUAAGCUGGCAUGGUAGCUUAAUCCCAACAUGCGGGAGGCAGAGGUAAGAGGAUCACCUUGUGUUGGAGGGCAGCAUGGGACUACAGAGUGAGUGCCAGGUCAUCCUGGGCUAGAGUGAGACUUUACCUCCAUAAAAAAGA
Long non-coding RNA from Jaculus jaculus (lesser Egyptian jerboa), 1019 nucleotides. RefSeq lists it as uncharacterized. The record is from RefSeq and is a predicted model, not a curated record. The transcript has 3 exons. Lineage: Eukaryota; Metazoa; Chordata; Mammalia; Rodentia; Dipodidae.